Molecule: long non-coding RNA, 975 nt
Organism: Drosophila pseudoobscura
Lineage: Eukaryota; Metazoa; Arthropoda; Insecta; Diptera; Drosophilidae
Exons: 2
Source: RefSeq, a predicted model, not a curated record
AUGGCGCCCAAGAUGGCAGACGAUUGCAUGGGGUUUAUUUUGAUAAACAGACAAUGAUGAUGAGCAAUCUGAGCGAUAAGCCGGUGUCAGAGGGCAGGUGCUUGAACUUCGACAAGGUCAACACAAGCUCAAGAUAAUUGGCCCACGUUUCGUUGUUGGGAUCCCUGUCUUUUGUGGCGACUCUUUCCGUGUGCAGCUCGGAGAAGUCUUGUGCAUCAUCGGAAACUCGGAAUAUUUGAAUGCUCAAAUAAAAACAGCUGUGCCAACUCGGAAAUGGUUUUUGGGGAUCAACAACCAUCCAGGUUACCAACCAGGCCCUCUAACACACCUGACACACACACAUACACGUCUGGAGAUCCGGUAAUUAAAAACACUUACUUCCUUACAACAGAAAUUCGAACGACAAACACUUUUUGAAAUCAUCGAGACCUAUCUACAAAAAGUCUUAUUUUUGAUCAAAUCCGAGGAAUCUAGGACAAGAGAUCUCUCGACAAGUAGCUCCCUUGACCCGAAACAAUUAAUUAGUCGUCCCAGGUCUCUAAUGCAAAAACUACCCUAAAACAUUGGCUUUUAAGGGGGAAAUUAUUAUUUUCCUUCGUAGGACUGUUUCUGGUUUUUAUAGAACAGGUUCUUUCGAUGAUCACUUCAGAACCGUUUACACUUAACGACUAUGUGGCUCAUUAACGUUUUGAACUUGGCCUUAAUAUCGUCUUACGAAGGGUGCUUCGGUUCGAAUUUAAGAACUUACACCGGCACGCUGAAGCAAAACAUCAAUGGGCCUGAUGCCAGAUGUCAUUGUGUACAGGUCAAAAGGGUUUUAUAUGAAAUUUGUUUGUUAACUAUUAUAUUUUUUGCACUUGAGAAACGCGCGCGAUUAUUGUCGCAGACAGUUGAUCGGGAAAACAGCGGAAAGAACAGAAAACAAUAGUGAAACAGCACGGAACGAAGCGCGCUGGUCGAGUGUGCAAUUGAAAA